UGCCUUAUAACUGUUUGUUGUUUCAUGGU
Molecule: non-coding RNA, 29 nt
Filed under: Mus musculus (house mouse)
Lineage: Eukaryota; Metazoa; Chordata; Mammalia; Rodentia; Muridae
Source: RNAcentral